Molecule: ribosomal RNA, 494 nt
Filed under: uncultured bacterium
Lineage: Bacteria
Description: partial 16S ribosomal RNA
Rfam family: Bacterial small subunit ribosomal RNA
Source: RNAcentral
GACGAACGCUGGCGGCGUGCUUAACACAUGCAAGUCGAACGGAAAGGCCUGCUUUCCCUUGUGGAUUGCGGGUACUCGAGUGGCGAACGGGUGAGUAACACGUGAGUGAUCUGCCCCCAACUUGGGUAUAAGCCUGGGAAACUGGGUCUAAUUCCCGAUAGGACUGCAGGGUGGUGCCUGUGGUGGAACACGAUUUUCUAGUGGUUGGGGAUGAGCUCGCGGCCUAUCAGCUUGUUGGUGGGGUAAUGGCCUACCAAGGCGGCGACGGGUAGCCGGCCUGAGAGGGUGGACGGGCACAUUGGGACUGAGAUACGGCCCAGACUCCGACGGGAGGCAGCAGUGGGGAAGAUUGCAAAAUGGGCGGAAGCCUGAUGCAGCGACGCAGCGUGGGGGAUGACGGCCUUCGGGUUGUAAACUCCUUUCGACCGCGAGGAAGCCACCUGGUUGGAAGGGUGGUGACGGUAGUGGUAGAAGAAGCACCGGCUAACUACGUG